RNAcentral lists this long non-coding RNA (1236 nucleotides) under Macaca fascicularis (crab-eating macaque). RNAcentral's name for it is "lncRNA (ENSMFAG00000061710.1)". The record is from RNAcentral. Lineage: Eukaryota; Metazoa; Chordata; Mammalia; Primates; Cercopithecidae.
CAUGGCACCAAGUAGAGGAGGAAUAGAAGGAUGGCUGGGAGGCACGGAAGAGAAAGACAAGUAGAAAAGAUGGCCGAUAUUCCAUAUCUAGAUAGAGGCAAUGUUUUUCUUCUCAAACUAAAUUGCGAAUUUUUUCAAAUUAUAAAAGAUACUUAUAAUGUUCAUUAUAGGUAACUUGAAACAGAGGGCUGGGCGCGGUGGCUCACACCUGUAAUCCCAACACUUUGGGAGGCUGAGGCGGGUGGAUCACUUGAGGCCAGGAAUUUGAAACCAGCCUGGCCAACAUAAGGAAACCCCAUCUCUACAAAAAAUACAAAAAUUAGCCUGGCAUUGUGGCGUGCACCUGUAAUCCCGCUACUCGGGAGGCUGAGGCAGGAGAACCACUUGAAGCCAGGAGGCAGAUGUUGCAGUGAACUGAGAUCAUGCCACUGCACUCCACCCUGGGCAACAGAGUGAGACUCCAUGUCAAAUAAGUAAAUAAAUAACUGGAAACAGAAGGACACAAAAAGGGGAAGGUAAUCGCCUACAUGCCCUAUGCCAAUAAAAAUAACUGACUUGUUGGCAUUUUAUGUUUUCUUCUAGUAUCUUUAUAAGCAUAUAUGUGUGUGCUUUUUAAAAAAUUGGAAUUGUAUACCAUAUACUACUUUAACUUAUAUAAUAGCAUUUUCAUCUUCGCGUCACUGCAUAUUCCUGGAAAACACUAUUUUUUAAUGGACGCUCCAAUUUUUGAGUCAUAUGGGCCUUAAGUCAUAUCACAUAGCUAGCAUUUUAGACCUCACUGGUUAAACAUGGUCAAGCUACAAACUAAAUUUAAAGCAUUUUAAAACUGUAAAUGUUACACAUAUGAUUGUAGAAAGUUUGGGGGAAAAAAGGUAUAAGGAAGAAGAUAAUCACCUAUAAUCCCACGACUCAGAGAAACUUUUUUACAUUUUGGUGUAUGCAAGAAUAGAUUUGAGACCACAGAGGUCAUACUGUUCAUGUAUACUGAUGACAUUUCUAUAUCUUGAUGUUUUUCACUUAGUAUUUAUAUCAUGAGCUAAAUUUAAUUUUAGUACUUUCUGUUGUACUUAUUGUCAAUAAUCCUUUUUAUGAUGAGAGAAUUUUUCACAGCUAGAGCCAAUGUUUCGAUGAACAUUUUGACAAGAAAGACAAAAAUGCCCCAUUUAACAAAUUUUGACAUGAAGUUGCUUUCCAGUAGGAGUUCAUAGAACUUCUCAAACCUUCCCCUAAUAACCU